RNAcentral lists this ribosomal RNA (464 nucleotides) under Vreelandella stevensii. Its description in RNAcentral is "partial 16S ribosomal RNA". It matches the Rfam family "Bacterial small subunit ribosomal RNA", at positions 338 to 795 of the family's 1533-position model. Lineage: Bacteria; Pseudomonadati; Pseudomonadota; Gammaproteobacteria; Oceanospirillales; Halomonadaceae. The record is from RNAcentral.
CCUACGGGGGGCAGCAGUGGGGAAUAUUGGACAAUGGGGCAACCCUGAUCCAGCCAUGCCGCGUGUGUGAAGAAGGCCCUCGGGUUGGAAAGCACUUUCAGUGAGGAAGAACGCCUGGUGGUUAAUACCCAUCAGGAAAGACAUCACUCACAGAAGAAGCACCGGCUAACUCCGUGCCAGCAGCCGCGGUAAUACGGAGGGUGCGAGCGUUAAUCGGAAUUACUGGGCGUAAAGCGCGCGUAGGUGGCUUGAUAAGCCGGUUGUGAAAGCCCCGGGCUCAACCUGGGAACGGCAUCCGGAACUGUCAAGCUAGAGUGCAGGAGAGGAAGGUAGAAUUCCCGGUGUAGCGGUGAAAUGCGUAGAGAUCGGGAGGAAUACCAGUGGCGAAGGCGGCCUUCUGGACUGACACUGACACUGAGGUGCGAAAGCGUGGGUAGCAAACAGGAUUAGAUACCCUAGUAGUC